Molecule: non-coding RNA, 136 nt
Filed under: Paramoeba aestuarina
Lineage: Eukaryota; Discosea; Flabellinia; Dactylopodida; Paramoebidae
Source: RNAcentral
CAUUCCACACUUAUUGGGACAUAAAGGAGAAAACUUGUGCAUUGAAGCAAAUUAUUAUUUCGAUGCUUCGAAGUGUGGAAUUGGGUUUCAUGGAGAUGGAGAAAGAAAAAAAGUUAUCGUUUUAAGGGUAGGAGCG